CCUACGGGAGGCAGCAGUGGGGAAUAUUGGACAAUGGGGGGAACCCUGAUCCAGCCAUGCCGCGUGUGUGAAGAAGGCCCUCGGGUUGUAAAGCACUUUCAGUGAGGAAGAACGCCUGGUGGUUAAUACCCAUCAGGAAAGACAUCACUCACAGAAGAAGCACCGGCUAACUCCGUGCCAGCAGCCGCGGUAAUACGGAGGGUGCGAGCGUUAAUCGGAAUUACUGGGCGUAAAGCGCGCGUAGGUGGCUUGAUAAGCCGGUUGUGAAAGCCCCGGGCUCAACCUGGGAACGGCAUCCGGAACUGUCAAGCUAGAGUGCAGGAGAGGAAGGUAGAAUUCCCGGUGUAGCGGUGAAAUGCGUAGAGAUCGGGAGGAAUACCAGUGGCGAAGGCGGCCUUCUGGACUGACACUGACACGGAGGUGCGAAAGCGUGGGUAGCAAACAGGAUUAGAUACCCUUGUAGUC
Molecule: ribosomal RNA, 465 nt
Filed under: Vreelandella stevensii
Lineage: Bacteria; Pseudomonadati; Pseudomonadota; Gammaproteobacteria; Oceanospirillales; Halomonadaceae
Description: partial 16S ribosomal RNA
Rfam family: Bacterial small subunit ribosomal RNA
Source: RNAcentral